GUAAAUGUGGAGCCGUAGCGAAAGCGAGUCUGAAUAGGGCGUUUAGUAUUUGGUCGUAGACCCGAAACCAGGUGAUCUACCCUUGGUCAGGUUGAAGUUCAGGUAACACUGAAUGGAGGACCGAACCGACUUACGUUGAAAAGUGAGCGGAUGAACUGAGGGUAGCGGAGAAAUUCCAAUCGAACCUGGAGAUAGCUGGUUCUCUCCGAAAUAGCUUUAGGGCUAGCCUCAAGUGAUGAUUAUUGGAGGUAGAGCACUGUUUGGACGAGGGGCCCCUCUCGGGUUACCGAAUUCAGACAAACUCCGAAUGCCAAUUAAUUUAACUUGGGAGUCAGAACAUGGGUGAUAAGGUCCGUGUUCGAAAGGGAAACAGCCCAGACCACCAGCUAAGGUCCCAAAAUAUAUGUUAAGUGGAAAAGGAUGUGGCGUUGCCCAGACAACUAGGAUGUUGGCUUAGAAGCAGCCAUCAUUUAAAGAGUGCGUAAUAGCUCACUAGUCGAGUGACACUGCGCCGAAAAUGUACCGGGGCUAAACAUAUUACCGAAGCUGUGGAUUGUCCUUUGGACAAUGGUAGGAGAGCGUUCUAAGGGCGUUGAAGCAUGAUCGUAAGGACAUGUGGAGCGCUUAGAAGUGAGAAUGCCGGUGUGAGUAGCGAAAGACGGGUGAGAAUCCCGUCCACCGAUUGACUAAGGUUUCCAGAGGAAGGCUCGUCCGCUCUGGGUUAGUCGGGUCCUAAGCUGAGGCCGACAGGCGUAGGCGAUGGAUAACAGGUUGAUAUUCCUGUACCACCUAUAAUCGUUUUAAUCGAUGGGGGGACGCAGUAGGAUAGGCGAAGCGUGCGAUUGGAUUGCACGUCUAAGCAGUAAGGCUGAGUAUUAGGCAAAUCCGGUACUCGUUAAGGCU
RNAcentral lists this ribosomal RNA (903 nucleotides) under Staphylococcus aureus. RNAcentral's name for it is "partial 23S ribosomal RNA". It matches the Rfam family "Bacterial large subunit ribosomal RNA", at positions 654 to 1557 of the family's 2925-position model. The record is from RNAcentral. Lineage: Bacteria; Bacillati; Bacillota; Bacilli; Caryophanales; Staphylococcaceae.